UUGGUUGAUCCUGCAAGUAGUCAUAUUCUUUUCUCGAAGAUUACGCCAUGCAUGUCUACGUACAUGCCAUAUUAAGGCGAAACCGCGAAUGGCUGAUUAAAUCAGUUAUGAUUCCUUGGAUCGUACCUUACUACUUGAAUAACUGCGGCAAUUCUAGAGCUAAUACAUGCAGCAGAGCUCCGAUACUCUGGGCCGAGCACUUUUAUUAGACAAAAACCAAUCGGAGCUGGUGUCAGUAUUAUAUGUUGACUCUAUAAUUUUGGGCUGAUCGCAGAGGCUCGUCUUUCAAGUGUCUGCCUUGAUCUGUCGAUGGUAGGUUACGCGCCUACAAUGGUCAUAACGGGUGACGUGGAAUAAGUGUCCGAUUCCGGAGAGGGAGCCUGAGAAACGGCUACCACAUCCAAGGAAGGCAGCAGGAGUGCAAAUUACCCACUCCCAGGACGGGGAGGAAGUGACGAAAAAUAACAGUACAGGACUCUGAAACCGGUAAUUGGAAUGAGUACACUCUAAAGCCUUUAACGAGGAUAAGUUGGAGGGCAAGUCUGCUGACAGGUGAGAACAGCUGCGGUAAUUCCAGCUCUUAAUAGCGUAUAUUAAAGUUGUUGGGGUUAAAAAGCUCGUAGUUAGAUCUCAGUUCCAGACGGGUGUUCCGCCUACCGGUGUUACUCCCUGGUCUGAACAGCCAGCCGGUUUCCUUUCAUGAUCUUCAUUUUUUGUCUUGAGUUACUGGCAAGUUUACUUUGAAAACAUUAGAGUGUUCAAAGCAGGCUGACGUCUGAAUAAUGGUUCAUGGAAUAAUGGAAUAGGACCUCGGUUCUAUUUUUUUGGUUUCCGGAAUACGAGGUGGUGAUUAAGAAGGACAGAAGGUGGCAUUCGUCAGACAAGUGAGCAUAGGCAACAACAACAGCAUUUAUAAGAGAUUUUUC
RNAcentral lists this non-coding RNA (926 nucleotides) under Stegodyphus mimosarum. RNAcentral describes it as "eukaryotic small subunit ribosomal RNA". It matches the Rfam family "Eukaryotic small subunit ribosomal RNA", at positions 4 to 932 of the family's 1831-position model. The record is from Rfam by way of RNAcentral. Lineage: Eukaryota; Metazoa; Arthropoda; Arachnida; Araneae; Eresidae.